Molecule: long non-coding RNA, 264 nt
Organism: Rhipicephalus microplus (southern cattle tick)
Lineage: Eukaryota; Metazoa; Arthropoda; Arachnida; Ixodida; Ixodidae
Source: RefSeq, a predicted model, not a curated record
AAAAAGACCCGCAUGUUCAUUCAUGUAAAAGAACUGAAUUACAACAUUUCAGAAGAAAUUGUCUAUUUGAACUGGAUCCAAAAAUGUGCUGUUUUUAUGAUCACUGCACCUUAUCCCGGGCGGUGGAUCUGGUUCGAUGUUCGUGUUUGGAACUCUUCUAUCGAAUACCGUCGUUACUCUGACUGUAUUCGAAAAUUCAAAAAACUGCCACAGAAGGGACGCAGAGUCUACAAUGAUUACUGCCAGAAUAUAGUCCAUGAAGGU